Acanthosepion pharaonis is the source of this 113-nucleotide non-coding RNA. The record is from the annotation of a GenBank genome assembly. Lineage: Eukaryota; Metazoa; Mollusca; Cephalopoda; Sepiida; Sepiidae.
UUGCGACCACAUCACGUUCAAACACGGUUUUCCGUACGGUCACCGAAGUUAAGCAACGUCGAGCCUAGUCAAUACCUAGAUGGGUGACCGUUUGGGAAUACCAGGUUCUGUCA